AUACACGCUGGCGGCGUGCUUAACACAUGCAAGUCGAACGAAGUUUUUCCUUCGGGAGAAACUUAGUGGCGGACGGGUGAGUAACGCGUGGGUAACCUGCCCUGUACAGGGGGACAACAGCUGGAAACGGCUGCUAAUACCGCAUAAGCCCUUAGCACUGCAUGGUGCAUAGGGAAAAGGAGCAAUCCGGUACAGGAUGGACCCGCGUCUGAUUAGCCAGUUGGCAGGGUAACGGCCUACCAAAGCGACGAUCAGUAGCCGAUCUGAGAGGAUGUACGGCCACAUUGGGACUGAGACACGGCCCAGACUCCUACGGGAGGCAGCAGUGGGGAAUAUUGCACAAUGGAGGAAACUCUGAUGCAGCGACGCCGCGUGAGUGAAGAAGUAUUUCGGUAUGUAAAGCUCUAUCAGCAGGGAAGAAAAUGACGGUACCUGACGAAGAAGCACCGGCUAAAUACGUG
This 461-nucleotide ribosomal RNA is filed under the name uncultured bacterium. Its description in RNAcentral is "partial 16S ribosomal RNA". It matches the Rfam family "Bacterial small subunit ribosomal RNA", at positions 33 to 507 of the family's 1533-position model. The record is from RNAcentral.